AUUGAACGCUGGCGGCAUGCUUUACACAUGCAAGUCGAACGGCAGCGGGGAGGAGCUUGCUUCUCCGCCGGCGAGUGGCGAACGGGUGAGUAAUACAUCGGAACGUGUCGAGAAGAGGGGGAUAACCACCCGAAAGGGUGGCUAAUACCGCAUAAAUUCUGAGGAAGAAAGCUGGGGACCUAGGAAUAGGCCUAGCGCUUUUUGAGCGGCCGAUGUCGGAUUAGCUAGUUGGUGAGGUAAAGGCUCACCAAGGCGAAGAUCUGUAGCGGGUCUGAGAGGAUGAUCCGCCACACUGGGACUGAGGCACGGCCCAGACUCCUACGGGAGGCAGCAGUGGGGAAUUUUGGACAAUGGGGGCAACCCUGAUCCAGCCAUGCCGCGUGUAUGAAGAAGGCCUUAGGGUUGUAAAGUACUUUUGUUAGGGAAGAAAAGUCAGCUGUGAAUAAUGGCUGAUACUGACGGUACCUAAAGAAUAAGCACCGGCUAACUACGUG
This 494-nucleotide ribosomal RNA is filed under the name uncultured bacterium. RNAcentral's name for it is "partial 16S ribosomal RNA". It matches the Rfam family "Bacterial small subunit ribosomal RNA", at positions 30 to 507 of the family's 1533-position model. The record is from RNAcentral.